This 74-nucleotide transfer RNA is filed under the name Promethearchaeota archaeon. RNAcentral's name for it is "Candidatus Lokiarchaeota archaeon (permafrost metagenome) tRNA-Cys". It matches the Rfam family "tRNA". From Rfam's summary of the family: Transfer RNA (tRNA) molecules are approximately 80 nucleotides in length. The record is from RNAcentral. Lineage: Archaea; Promethearchaeati; Promethearchaeota.
GCCAAGGUCGCUUAGCCCGGUUGAGCGUCAGCCUGCAGAGUUGAUUUGCGGGGGUUCAAAUCCCUCCCUUGGCU